GAGGUUGUGGCUCAGAGGUAGAGCGCUCACCUGGCAUAUGUGGGGCAUGGGUUCAAUCCUCAGCACCACA
This 70-nucleotide transfer RNA is filed under the name Marmota monax (woodchuck). Its description in RNAcentral is "tRNA.Ala". Lineage: Eukaryota; Metazoa; Chordata; Mammalia; Rodentia; Sciuridae. The record is from RNAcentral.